Molecule: ribosomal RNA, 387 nt
Filed under: Triticum aestivum (bread wheat)
Lineage: Eukaryota; Viridiplantae; Streptophyta; Magnoliopsida; Poales; Poaceae
Description: partial small subunit ribosomal RNA
Source: RNAcentral
AUGGCUGCCGCGGUUCGUCCGGAUCCGCGCCCUCCCCAGUUGCUCGCUCACCAGGAGAAGAGGAGGUGGCAGCCACUACUGCCGUUGUCGUGCGACCACAGCUCCUCUGCCCCGACCCCGUCAAGGUGCCCUCCUCCCCCUUCUCGAUUCGAUGUUGCUUGUGUUGCUCUCUUCAUGAAGCUCCUCUCUGCUGCAGCUCCUCCGCAUCCUCUCCCCGUCGCGGUGCAGCUCGGACAAACUGAUCGGGAGGGGAUGGAGGAGCUGGACAUGGACGUAGAGAAGGCGGCCAGAUCCGAGUUCGUCCACCCCUACUGCUACGAGGACCGUGACUCGCAUCCUUGUGUUGGCACCUCGAUGAGGAGCACCCCUUCGAGCCUAACACCAUGA